RNAcentral lists this ribosomal RNA (432 nucleotides) under uncultured bacterium. RNAcentral describes it as "partial 16S ribosomal RNA". It matches the Rfam family "Bacterial small subunit ribosomal RNA", at positions 29 to 506 of the family's 1533-position model. The record is from RNAcentral.
AACGAACGCUGGCGGCAUGCCUACCACAUGCAAGUCGAACGAGACCUUCGGGUCUAGUGGCGCACGGGUGCGUAACGCGUGGGAACCUGCCCUUAGGUUCGGAAUAACUCCCCGAAAGGGGUGCUAAUACCGGAUAAUGUCUUCGGACCAAAGAUUUAUCGCCUUUGGAUGGGCCCGCGUUGGAUUAGCUAGUUGGUAGGGUAAAAGCCUACCAAGGCGACGAUCCAUAGCUGGUCUGAGAGGAUGAUCAGCCACACUGGGACUGAGACACGGCCCAGACUCCGACGGGAGGCAGCAGUGGGGAAUAUUGGACAAUGGGCGGAAGCCUGAUCCAGCAAUGCCGCGUGAGUGAUGAAGGCCUUAGGGUUGUAAAGCUCUUUUACCCGGGAUGAUAAUGACAGGACCGGGAGAAUAAGCGCCGGCGAACUCCGU